This 468-nucleotide ribosomal RNA is filed under the name uncultured bacterium. RNAcentral describes it as "partial 16S ribosomal RNA". It matches the Rfam family "Bacterial small subunit ribosomal RNA", at positions 28 to 507 of the family's 1533-position model. The record is from RNAcentral.
GACGAACGCUGGCGGCGUGCUUAACACAUGCAAGUCGAACGGAAAGGCCCUGCUUUUGUGGGGUGCUCGAGUGGCGAACGGGUGAGUAACACGUGAGUAACCUGCCCUUGACUGUGGGAUAACUUCAGGAAACUGGGGCUAAUACCGGAUAGGAGCUCCUGCUGCACGGUGGGGGUUGGAAAGUUUCGGCGGUUGGGGAUGGACUCGCGGCUUAUCAGCUUGUUGGUGGGGUAGUUGCUUACCAAGGGUUUGACGGGUAGCCGGCCUGAGAGGGUGACCGGCGACAUUGGGACUGAGAUACGGACCAGAAUGCUACGGGAGGCAGCAGGGGGGAAUAUUGCACAAUGGGCGGAAGCCUGAUGCAGCAGCGCCGCGAGCGGGAUAACGGGCUUCGGGUUGUAAACCGCUUUCGCCUGUAACGAAGAGUGAGUGACGGUAAUGGGUAAGGAAGCACCGGCUAACUACGUG